UUAACAACAUCUGCAUCAUUUUAAAAAUGAAACAUAUAUUUCAGCAAGUUUUAGAAGAGGAAACCAGCAGGGAGUGGGCAAAUAUUUCAGUUGAGUUAGAAAGAUGUUUCAGCUUUUGUUAAUACAGUACUAUGCCCCUACACCCGAAGAGCAAAAUUGUGAGUUAACACAUACGUGAGAGCUGGAGCCCAAAAAUUGUUUGACUAUCGAUCACGUUAUGAGACUUAAAAUGAGCAGAAGAGACCCUUCCACGGCAGAAGACACCAGUUGUCUUAAAAAUAUACUGAUUAAAUGGUUCCCUAGUUUCUCUUCAUGAGAAUCCUAAAGCAAUGCCAAGGGGAGGACUCUGCUUUUCUGUAAUGGCAGAGAAAGGACAAAAUACUGAUGUGAAACUUAGCAAGACUAAUAAAUGUCAUUGCUGGUGCUGCUUGGUGUGUGACUCACCUCCCAAAACAUAGGCACCUGGGGACAUUUCUCCCAUUCUAAGGUGUCUGAGACAUUGUGGGGGGCUGGCAGGUAAACCUGGAGAUCUGGAGAAAAGAGCCUCAGGUGACCAAAGCAGCACUGAAUACCUCUGUGUAGGCAACCAAAUCCCUCAUCAUCCAAAACGCAGCUUCCCGCAGCCUGUCUGAAGGUGCCCACCUGUGCCGGUGCACAGGGAGCGGCGUUGGGAGGGGAUGCACGGCCUGGCUGCCGCUGGAUCCCGGGGAGGGCUUGCCCUAGCGCUGCUGACAUCGAUGUGUCAUUUAACCAUGGACGACGGUUAAAUUGCCAGCUGAAGAGUCAGAGGAAGAAGUAACUCAGAGUAACUUCACCCCUUUUAAUUCACUAUUUGCCUUCAGUUCCUCCUUCUUUAACUCAUGCAGAGUUGGCAUGAACAGACCUUGAAGACCUCUCUGGCUGAGCACAGCAGUCCUGCUAUAGUGCACCUACCCGGGCUCUGAGAGGCAGGUGCUGGCCAAGAUGGACCUUUCCGGGAGGACGUGCACCAGGCUGUGCUGCUGAGAGGACUCGCUCUGGCCCCUGCUGCAGUGCUGCACCGACCUGCUGUGACUAACGCUGCCCGCUCUCGCCGCCGACUGACGUGCGAUCCCCAUCGCCAACGUCUGUCUGUCAACGAGCGAGGCGAGCUCCAGCUCCCUGCGGCUGCUGCAAUCCGUGGUGACCCCGUGCUGCAGCACGCACCGGUUCGAAUCUGCGUAAUAAAAAGAGGGAGCUACCGCCACAGUGAGACACUGCAAUCCAGAAUGCCAGUUCGGAAGCCUCUGAGCUCUGGAGAAGUGGGAUAAGGCAGCCUCCAAGGGUUUCAGGAAAGCUGCUGGCUCCUGUGGACGUCUGACCUGCCCAAGCCGGCCCCUGCUCCCUGGGCUGGUCCUGCUGCUGUCUUCUGGUGGCUUCAAGCAACUCCCCAAGCCUGUCCUGCACCCCACACUCAGGAUGCUCACCCGCAGUGUCACAUCUAACAUGUCAGGCUGAUUACAGUCGUGGUGAGACCCAUGCAUUCAGUAGAACGGUGAAGGUUCACACUAAAUGACCUGGGCAGCAGUGCGCUGUGAUGCUCUGCAAGUCCAAAUGAAUUUAGGUGAAGUUCUGGAGGAAAAUUCUGAUCUUAACUGCACUAGUGCAAUGAAUUACACUCCUAAUUAUUCUGAUUUUCAAUUUCUGCUGCUGCUAGUUACAAAGUCUGGAGCAGAAAUUGAUAGUUACUGUAUUAGCUCCUGUAUGACUUAAUCCUUAUUUUGGAGGAUUUACAGGAUAAACCCAUACUUUGUGUCUAAUUUUGUUUUGCAAAUACGGAGAUGUCAGCCCCAUUUAUAAAGUCAUAAAAUUUAUGUUGUGUUGUCCCACCUGGCCUCCAUGGUCUCCCACUGCUGUCAGUGGACUCUGCUACUGUGGCUUUUUGAUUAUUUAUUCACGUAACACGUGAUAAAAGAAACAAGAUGUCUGCUACAAGUACGGUAUGGCUAACACUCCAGAAGGCUCCAGCCUUCAUUUUUUUUUUUUCCACACAUCAUGCAUAAAUCGGAGAAUGAAGGGCAUCCAGAUUUUGUUUUCCUGUUUCCACAUUUUGAAGAAACAAAAGCUGAUGGUUGUGAUUUCUGUGAUGACACCAACACAGGGACGCCACCCCAGAAACCAGCUUUGCUGCUGCUGCAUCCAAUACCACCGGCGCUGGCACCACAGCAUGGGCUUGCUUUCGUGGCAGGCUUCCCUGGCGUUCAGGAGAUUCAGUCAGGGUACAGAUGCCUUUUAUUUAAAAUUAUGUAAGAAAAUUUGCCUUGGGUUUGAUAUCAAAUGUCUUCUUUUUCUCUCACUGCGGCUGGGACCUUGAGAUAGCUCAUCAGCACAUGGGGAAAGGCUGGGAAAAAUCUUCAGGGUUUAGUGUUGAAUGCGAAACCUGGAAUUAGUAGGCUGUUCGGGCUAAGAUUGGAACUGGGAAACUUCAGGAGCUGGAAGAUAUCACCAGUGGCAUUUUGGGAGACUACAGCAUGCGCUUUCCCUCACAGGCACUUGGUGCAAGUGGAGAAGGACUGGAUUAUUAGGAAGCCCAAGACUAGGUCUUCUGCAGAGGCAGAUGCACAGACUGGCCCACGAGCAGUGCUGGCAGGGAGGGUGGAAUCCGCCCUCGCCAGGUGAUGCAUGUGCACAUGCAGAUGUGCACACGCAGACAUGGACACACGUGCUGUAAGUGGGCUGCCGGGCCUGCUCAGCACCCUCAUUGAGACUGCUCCACACCAUUUAAGAGCUGAGAAAUUGCAAGCGUAUUGAACGCUGAAUUUUCACAGCACAAAGUUAGCAGAGAUGAUUCUGUAACCGAUAAAGUGGGAAACUUCACAGCAUUGAAUGGUCCUCAGAUUCACACUUCCAUGUGUGUCAUAGUCUGGUGUUAAUGUACUUGGAGCAAUAACAUAAAACAUGUAAGAGUGCUGGCUGGGCAACAAAACCUGCCAGUUUUUCCCAUGCUGUCCACACUGUUUGCUUGCCUUGGGGGUUCUCGCCUCACUGACGGUGAUGGAGAGCUUUGCAACAACAGAGAGUGCAAAAGCUUCCAGCUCCCAGCCCUAGCACCAGUGAGUUCAUUACCUGCAGAAAAGCUCCUUCAGCCAGAUGUGUGUGGUGCUCGUGUUUCAUAUACCUUCCUUCCACUGGUAAAGCUUGCCUGUGAUUUUGGCAUUUCCCCUUGUUAAAUAGGACAAGAGGAAAAAUCCCAUAAGGUUUCUUUGGACUGUGAGCCUUGCAGAGCCAUCAGCCUGAUCUGGAUGCAUCCCCUAACAUAUUUCUGAUAACUGGCUAAACUCCGUAUGGAAACUUUGGAAAUUCAUUUUAUUGGGGGAAAUAAAAUUUGUUUUAUUAACAUCAGUGGAGCACAGGGAAGUGAAAAUAAGCAGUGUUCCGUAACAAAAUACAACACUGCAAUUCCUAUAAAUGGAAAAUGUGUCUUAAAUCUCUCCAUGAAUAAAGAAAAUGCAGACAAGAAAAGGCAUAACCAGGUUGCACAAAAAGAAUAUUUUAAUUGAUGUAGGGGCCUACAGUUUUUCAUAUGGGAACCAGAGCCUUCUAACCUGGGGCAACAUCCCAUCUGGACAACCUUGGUGGCAUUUUCAGAGAAAGGAGGUGGCAUUUAAAAAUAUUGACAGAUUGUACGUUGAAGAUGGAAUAAGUAUUUUAAAAAGCAUGAACUAAUAUACCAGGGGUUGGAUAACUGUGGAAAGCAAAGCAGACCCAGUAGAAUUGGGUAAACUAAACUUGAAGCUGACUCAAAAGUCAUGAAAUAUCGGUGUCCUCUUUAAGAUCUCGUUUAAGUACAUGUAUUUGAAGAAUUUUUGAAGUUACCCUAAGAGCAGGACUUGAUAAAGGAAAUAUGUGGAAAACAUUAUUUAGUUUCAUCUGAUAUUCAUGCUGAGGGGCUAAGGGAGUCAGUAAAUGAAGUUUUUGAACCUCAUGAUAACAGAUUUUGAAAAUGGAAAAAGUGUUUUCCUUUUGAAAAUGAGAAAUGAAAGUGUUGGAGCCAGCAAUGUAGAGGGAAAUGAACAUAGAACUAAUGUUUACAGAGGAAAAGACAACUGAUCCCAAGCAAGGGGGAACUGGUUUCACUUUCGGGAGACUGGGCAUGUAGCAGGAGAAGGAGACCCCUGGAGCCCUGUGUCCCAUGUGCCGACAGCACAGCUGCGGCUGGAGCAUCCUCCAGUAGAGCAAAGUCUUUGGGAAAGAGCCUGGUGGGCACCGGUGUUGGGCGCAGCUGCCAGAGCCACCCUGCCGGCAGUGCUGCGAGGUUCCUGGUCACGGUGGCCACCCCGGCAGCAGCCCUGGGAGCCCGUUCACGCUUGGGUGUCCUGGGAAAAUAAAUAUUUAUGAGGAAAUGCCCGGAGUUGUCAAGCUAUCCUGCAAAUUAUUAGAGAACUGGAACAUAUUGUGGAGGGAAAAGGUAUUUGCUGAAAAGCCCUUUCAAGCACAAUGCCUCAUUCUCUGCAAGGUUCAUCUUCAAAAACUAAGAAUGGGGAAGGAUUAAUGGUCCAGGAGCCUGAGAAUUCACACUUCCCGAAACAAAGAACAAAGAUGUUAAGCCUGUCUUCAAAUGUCCCUGUUUUCUACAAAGGAAUAUAAUUUUGCUUCUGUCAUCAUUUCAAGAAAUACUUUCUCCACAAUCAUUUCUUUUCCAAAGUCAAAGACUUGAAAUCUUGCAAAAAAAAGAGGAAGAAAAAACCCUUGCAUUUUCCAAAAUAAAUAAAUAAAUCCAGCAACACAGGCUUUUAUUUUGCUGGCAGAGGCAGAACUUACUUGAAACAAGAAGAAAGAAGGAGAAGCUGAACAUGUUUCAAUUAAAAAACCAUUAUUAGCUCACAAAGGGAGAGAUAAAAUAGGGUUUGCUCUUCAGGAGAGCAAGGGGGCUGCCUGCCAUGAGCACGCGAGCAGCAUGCUCGUCAUGGGGGGUCUGGAGUGUCCGGAGGGGAGCAGUGCCUGCUGCCCGGCCCGGACGCUGCUGGCACAGCAGUGGGGAUGCUCGGGCUGCAUCCCAGCCCUUGUCAGGCAUCCCACUCUGCCGGGCCAGGCUCAGCUGGGCUCUUGGUGGGUGCGACGGCUGCCCCAGGCUGGAGGACAUGACUGUGCAACUUCUUUGGCUGCAGACUGGGGAAGGGAAGUAGCACGAGGAGCCUGGGAUGCCCUCGUUUUCUUUAUUUUCUUGGUCAUUAUUGCAGCACCUGUGGCACUGAGCCUGCCACUGGCUAUAGCCUGACACACGGCCCAGACU
Falco peregrinus (peregrine falcon) is the source of this 5251-nucleotide long non-coding RNA. RefSeq lists it as uncharacterized. The record is from RefSeq and is a predicted model, not a curated record. The transcript is spliced from 6 exons. NCBI's taxonomy places the organism in Eukaryota, Metazoa, Chordata, Aves, Falconiformes, Falconidae.